This 440-nucleotide ribosomal RNA is filed under the name uncultured bacterium. RNAcentral describes it as "partial 16S ribosomal RNA". It matches the Rfam family "Bacterial small subunit ribosomal RNA", at positions 338 to 795 of the family's 1533-position model. The record is from RNAcentral.
CCUACGGGAGGCAGCAGUGGGGGAUAUUGCACAAUGGGGGAAACCCUGAUGCAGCGACGCCGCGUGUGGGAAGACGGUCCUCUGGAUUGUAAACCACUGUCCCCAGGGACGAAGAUGACGGUACCUGGGGAGGAAGCUCUGGCUAACUACGUGCCAGCAGCCGCGGUAAUACGGAGGAUGCGAGCGUUAUCCGGAUUUAUUGGGUUUAAAGGGUGCGUAGGCGGGUUAUCAAGUCAGCGGUAAAAUCGUGGAGCUCAACUCCAUCCAGCCGUUGAAACUGAUGAUCUUGAGUGGGCGAGAAGUAUGCGGAAUGCGUGGUGUAGCGGUGAAAUGCAUAGAUAUCACGCAGAACUCCGAUUGCGAAGGCAGCAUACCGGCGCCCGACUGACGCUGAAGCACGAAAGCGUGGGUAUCGAACAGGAUUAGAUACCCUUGUAGUC